This 600-nucleotide ribosomal RNA is filed under the name Zeloasperisporium eucalyptorum. RNAcentral describes it as "eukaryotic LSU rRNA". It matches the Rfam family "Eukaryotic large subunit ribosomal RNA", at positions 44 to 663 of the family's 3401-position model. The record is from RNAcentral. Lineage: Eukaryota; Fungi; Ascomycota; Dothideomycetes.
CAAUAAGCGGAGGAAAAGAAACCAACCGGGAUUGCCCUAGUAACGGCGAGUGAAGCGGCAACAGCUCAAAUUUGAAAUCUGGCUCCUUUGGGGUCCGAGUUGUAAUUUGCAGAGGAUGCUUCGGCGUUGGCACCGGUUCAAGUGCCUUGGAACAGGCCGUCCUAGAGGGUGAGAGCCCCGUCUCGGACCGUGUCGCCAGCGCCAUGUGUAGCUCCCUCGACGAGUCGAGUUGUUUGGGAAUGCAGCUCUAAGCGGGUGGUAAAUUCCAUCUAAAGCUAAAUACCGGCCGGAGACCGAUAGCGCACAAGUAGAGUGAUCGAAAGAUGAAAAGCACUUUGAAAAGAGAGUUAAAAAGCACGUGAAAUUGUUGAAAGGGAAGCGCUCGCGGCCAGACUCGCGGCGAGGGUUCAGCCGGCCGUCAGGCCGGUCCACUCCCUCGUCCGCGGGCCAGCAUCAGUUGGGGCGGUCGGAGAACGGCGCCGGGAACGUAGCCCCUCGGGGUGUUAUAGCCCGGCGCACAAUGCGACCCGCCCCGACUGAGGAUCGCGCUUCGGCUCGGAUGCUGGCGUAAUGGCCGUGAGCGGCCCGUCUUGAAACACG